AUGUCACCCAGCAAGGCAGGGCAGAGUAAGACAGAAGUCUAGUCAUCUCACUCUCAGUUGUCAGAGAGACCCUCACAGCCAAUUCCUACCACAACUCCUUGCCUCUCUUUGUGUCUAUUUCUAUUUAUUGAUUAAUGAUUAUUUAUUGAGCACCUAGUAUGUGCUUGAUUCUAAGCUGAGCACUUCUCCUCCUCCGCUUCCCUGACCACUUCCUGCAUUUCUCCAUCAUACCAUCCUUGAUGAGUCAGGGACCAAAAUGACCCCCAACUGCAGUGCCUCCCUGACCCAAAAGACCCCGAGACUCUCACCUGCUUCCCAAUUGAAGUGUGGACUCCCACAGGGAAGCUAAGCUGUCCACAUCUCGCCGCAGGGCACAGGCCUCUAGGACUCUCUCCAGCCAGGCUGGGUCUAGCUACUGCCUGAGGCACACUUCCUCCACCACAGAGGUGUUCUGCACCCAGGCCUCCUGGAGAAUGUAGGCCACUGAACACUAACACACAACUUACUUUGGUCACAGAAGGAUGAUGGGGACAGAGGUAUGACAGGUUUUGAGGAGCAGUGGGAGCUGGGCUCUCGGUGAGUGGGUGGUGGAGAGAAUGAAUGAAAGUGAGCUUGGCUGAGAUAAUGAGGGGUGGAAAGGCAGUGAGGACGGGGGACUUUCAGGAUGAUGGGGACAUUCUAACAGGCAGGGGGUGGCCUCACUUUGAUGCUUAUGAACCCCUCCACCUUUGACAGCUCCCCAAAGAGGAAGGAUGGCAGGGAGGACUCCUGUGUUCCCACUGGACCGACUACAGCCAGGAAAAAGCCCUGGGGCAUGGGCUCCAUGGCAGUCUCCAAUCUUCAAAUCUUCAAUCUAUGAAGGCACAGAUUCCUCAAAGAAUGACCUCAAAUGACCAAGAGUAGCGCUCUAUAUCCCUGCUCCUGAAUAACAAGCCAACUGGAGUGUCUGUCAACUACCCUCAGCAUAGACACACCUCCAAUUACCCAAGUGAACUUCAUGACUAAUUGGCCAGUCACUCAUGCCCCUGACCCAGCCUACAUGAACAUUGGAAGGCCAUAAGUGAAUUAUAAAAAGAAGCAGAGGUGAGGAGGCACCUGCCCUGGGCUACAGAUCUAUGUAGUUCAGCAAUCUCCAGUCCCUAGUACUCAAGAAGCUCUAAGCCACCCUUCUGUAAGUCAGAAUGGAAGCACAUGAUACCACAUUUCUAUCUGCUGUAGACACUCUUCCCAGUGUCUCAAAAUGUUUUAGUAUCUCUCGGUAAAAAUCUUCAGGUUUGUCGGUUAUUGAUUUAAAAAAUAAAGGAAUCUGUUUAAUGCUCCCUUGAACCCUCUAUUUUAAUGUGCCUUUGUAAAUUCCCAACGUCUUGUGUUUUCAUCUUUGUAAUUUAUCUUUAUUAAACUUGUCAUAAACUCCAAUAUUCUGAUCUCUUACUGAAGAAUCUGUAUUCCUAUCCAAUCCAGUGUUGUUUCUCUUCAAACCUAGCCUUCCCUGCUCAUUCCAUUUUUAGCCAAUUCCAGUGUGUUCACCAGUUAAUUUCAUCCUCAUUUUAUCCACUGGGUGCACCAGACUCCCUUCCCCUUUGUAUCAUCAUCAUCAUCAUCAUCAUCAUCAUUAUUAUCUGAGACAGAGUCUCGCUCUGUCACCAGGCUAGAGUGCAAUGGCAGGAUCUUGGCUCACUGCAACUUCUGCCUCCUGUGUCCAAGCAAUUCUCCUACCUCAGCCUCCCAAAUAGCUGGAAGUACAGGCGCCCACCACCAUGCCCAGCUAAUUUAUUUUGUAGUUUUAGUUGACAGAUUUUCACCAUUUUAGCCAGGAGGGUCUGAAUCUCUUGACCUCAUAAUCUGCCUGCCUCAGCCUCCUAAAGUGCUGGGAUUACAGGUGUGAGCCACCCUUGCACCGCUGUAAUCCCAGCUAUUUGGGAGGCUGAGGCAGGAGAAUCGCUAGAACCCAGGCAGCAGAGGUUGCAGUGAGCCGAGACUGCACCACUGCACUCAAGCCUGGGUGAGACAGCAAGACUCUGUCAUAGCAACAACAACAAAUGCCCAUAAAAUAAAAUAAAAAAGGGUGAGUACAGGCCUUUAAAAUGAGUUUAAAUCUCAUUUCUGCCACUUCCUAUGUCCAAAAAGAAAACUAUCCUAAUCUAUUUGAGUCUCAGAUUCCCUAUCUAGAGAAACACUUGACCACAAUGUUUAACACACAUUGAAGUACUAGAGGUUAAUUAGUCUUAUGAUUCCUUAAAAUUCUGAAACUCUUCAUGCUUUUGAUUGUCUACAGGAAAACUGGGGAUACAAAGCCAGCAGAAUUUGAAAAAUAAUAGAACAAAACAAACACCAAAAGCAGAGAAGAACAUUUUAAAACAUCCAGAGAAGGUUAUAGAAAUCUAGUGGAAAAGGAAAACACGACUGAAAAAAAAAGUACUGUGGAAGGCAGAAAUACUAGCCUAAAGGGAAAACCAAACUGGGAAGUCAAAUAAUUUCUAAGACUUGUCUAAUCUUGGUUUUGUAAAAUUUACAAUCCUAUGGCCAAACCUUUACCCUGCCCUAAAGCCUUUGAUGGUAAAGAUAUUGGUUACCACUGCAAUUGUUGAAUUUAUUAGGACAAACUCUUAGACCAACUUCAUUUCUCACAAUAACCUUAAAUGAGAGUUAACCUAUAACUAGAUUUGACUGUACUAAUUAAUCUGAUUCUAACAUAUAUCUUGAUCCAGCAGCUGCACAGAUCUUUAUCCAUCUAUGUUGAGGAGCAAAAGAAAGAUUUGGAAGCCAGGAAGGCUGAUGGUUUAACUGUGAGUCAGCUACUUUUUUAACUAUGGGGUCAUGGGCCAAUUAACCAACCUCUCUAAAUCACAGUUGCCUAUUUAAUAAACAGUAGGUUAUAAGAACGCAGAUGUUGUGAUGGCUUUAUGAGAUAAAUGCAUAGCACAUAAUAGGGUGGUUAGCCCAGAAUACAAUACUCAAAAGAUAUUAGUUUCUUCUCUCUAUAUUUCCUCAGUUAAUAAAAUUUUUUAAAAUCCUACCUGACUGCAGAUGGGUCAGAACUGCCAGAAUUUAUUAAAGGAAAAGGUAAAAUGCAUUGCAAAUCAAUAAUAAAUAUAUAGAAUAUUAAAAACAUAAGAAGGCAAAGUCAUGCAUGCCUGUAAUCUCAACUACUUGGGAGAUGGAGGCAGAAGGAUCACUUGAGAAACCCAGAAGUUUGAGACCAGUUUGGGAAACAUAGCAAGACACUACCUUCAUAAAAAAAUUACACACACUUGUGUGCAUGCUUUAGACCAUUUUUCUUUAAAGUAUAGUACUGAUGCUUUGUUACAAAGCGUUCCUCUGGGAGCAUACCUGAGACCUUCUUAGAAUUAAUAUAAAUUAUACCUAUUGGUAUGUGCAGUAAGAACUCUUGCUUCCCUUACUUUGUAUUUAUUAAUUGCAAAGAAUAAAUUUUAUCAAAAUUUGAUAUCUACAAGUAAACUGCAUUAUACAAGUCAUCUUAAACCAUAUGAAAUUGACUAAAAAUGGCAUUGUUAUCAGAACAGGUGUGAUGAGUGACCAGUGUUAAAGAGCAUGAUUUCUGAACCAAAAUAUGAAGGGCAGUUAAAACAGAGUAUACA
This 3599-nucleotide long non-coding RNA is filed under the name Callithrix jacchus (white-tufted-ear marmoset). Its description in RNAcentral is "lncRNA (ENSCJAG00000086728.1)". The record is from RNAcentral. Lineage: Eukaryota; Metazoa; Chordata; Mammalia; Primates; Cebidae.